GAGAAGGUGGCUGAGUGGUUAAAGCGACAGACUGUAAAUCUGUUGAUUUAUUCAUCGUAGGUUCGAUUCCUACCCUUCUCA
Molecule: transfer RNA, 81 nt
Filed under: Bulbochaete rectangularis var. hiloensis
Lineage: Eukaryota; Viridiplantae; Chlorophyta; Chlorophyceae; Oedogoniales; Oedogoniaceae
Description: tRNA-Tyr
Rfam family: tRNA
About the family: Transfer RNA (tRNA) molecules are approximately 80 nucleotides in length.
Source: RNAcentral